RNAcentral lists this ribosomal RNA (253 nucleotides) under uncultured bacterium. RNAcentral describes it as "partial 16S ribosomal RNA". It matches the Rfam family "Bacterial small subunit ribosomal RNA", at positions 524 to 776 of the family's 1533-position model. The record is from RNAcentral.
UACGAAGGUGGCUAGCGUUGUUCGGAAUCACUGGGCUUAAAGAGCACGUAGGCGGAGAUGAAAGUGUCUUGUGAAAUCCCUCGGCUUAACCGAGGAAUUGCCCGGCAAACUACGUUUCUUGAGGCAAGCAGGGGUGUGUGGAACUCUUAGUGGAGCGGUGGAAUGCGUAGAGAUUAAGAGGAACGCCGAAGGUGAAAACAGCACACUGGGCUUGUACUGACGCUGAGGCGCGAAAGUGUGGGGAGCAAACAGG